UUAGCUGGUUGGUGAGGUAACGGCUCACCAAGGCAACGAUCAGUAGCCGACCUGAGAGGGUGAUCGGCCACAUUGGAACUGAGACACGGUCCAAACUCCUACGGGAGGCAGCAGUGGGGAAUAUUGCACAAUGGGCGGAAGCCUGAUGCAGCAACGCCGCGUGAGCGAGGAAGGCCCUUGGGUCGUAAAGCUCUGUCGGGAAGGAAGAUAAUGACGGUACUUCCCGAGGAAGCCCCGGCUAACUACGUGCCAGCAGCCGCGGUAAUACGUAGGGGGCGAGCGUUAUCCGGAAUUAUUGGGCGUAAAGGGUGCGUAGGCGGUUUCUUAAGCGUGGGGUGAAGGCCAUUGGCUUAACCAAUGUAAGCCCCGCGAACUGGGGAGCUUGAGUACAGGAGAGGAAAGCGGAAUUCCUAGUGUAGCGGUGAAAUGCGUAGAUAUUAGGAGGAACACCAGUGGCGAAGGCGGCUUUCUGGACUGUAACUGACGCUGAUGCACGAAAGCGUGGGGAGCAAACAGGAUUAGAUACCCUGGUAGUCCACGCCGUAAACGAUGAGCACUAGGUGUCGGGGUCGCAAGACUUCGGUGCCGCAGUUAAC
This 596-nucleotide ribosomal RNA is filed under the name uncultured bacterium. Its description in RNAcentral is "bacterial SSU rRNA". It matches the Rfam family "Bacterial small subunit ribosomal RNA", at positions 241 to 856 of the family's 1533-position model. The record is from RNAcentral.